Molecule: long non-coding RNA, 2594 nt
Organism: Chelonia mydas (Green sea turtle)
Lineage: Eukaryota; Metazoa; Chordata; Testudines; Cheloniidae
Exons: 5
Source: RefSeq, a predicted model, not a curated record
UGCUGACUCAGGCUGACAGGUGGAUCUUGUUAGUGCCAAUCUGGAUAGAAGAAUGGAGGAAAAAUAGGGGCUCUUGUAUCAGAGGGGUUUGUUGUAAGGAAGCAUGUAAGAAAAAAAACCACUACCACAACAUGGGGGAGCAAGUUCAAGGGUGAAUGAAGUUUGGUGAUUCCAGUAUUUAGGGAGCAACUCCAUUGAGAAUGAAAUCUUUGGUGUAAAUAAGAAAAGAAUCAGGUCCAUUAUUUUUACUUGAGAUGUGGAGAUUAGAAACGACAGGUGACAGGGAAGGAUAGAGAAGAAUCUUUGCAAACAGAUAUCCCUCCAACGAAGGAACGUUGUCUCAUAUUUUCUUUUAUGGGCUACCUGAACCUAUCGCCCUCAGAAAACAACUGCUGAUGUAAGGUGGCAUGAUGUGGAUGCUUUAAGGACCAGCUUGAUCAUCUAUCAAAUAAAGAUAUCACAAAAAGCCAUUUCCAUGGUAAAGGGUGAGACCUUUGUCAGCCGCCUCCUAGGGAUUUCUUGUUUCUGUGAAGACUGGUAGACUAAAUUCCAGGCAUGUUUAAAAGCUCUGACUGCACUACAGAACCAACUAAAACCUGGCACAUGAUAAAACAGAACUUCUAUUUUGGCGUCUGCACAAAUAGAGAAUUCUCCACAAACACAGAAGAGGAUUUGUGUCAGAGUGUCUGAACAAUUCUGGAGUGCCUUCAAGGAACAGAAAGUUGGCAGUUGUCGUGAGUUUAUCAACAUCUAUACUAGAGCUACCAAUAUUAAAAUGUGCUGAGCUGCACCAACGUUAGCAACAGUGGGGAGAAAUCUUUAGAAAACUUCCCAGAUGCAGGCAAAGUCUUAAAAUAAAAUCACCCAGGUUACGUGAGGACAGUAGCUGAGAAUGACAACCCACGAGCGUGUGUAACCACAUGCUUGCAUUGCAGCAUUUAGUGGUGUAAAUAAGAAACAGUGGGGGAAGAUACAUAGUUCUUGGUUUGGAAGUCUCUGUGUGCUUGCAACCUUGAUGCAAGUGGACAGAAUGACUCUAAAUGGACAAGAAACAUCCAGAAAUUGAGUGUGAUGGGUACUAAGUAUGGCCAUGAGCUGUUUGAAGCUACAUAGAUGAUUUUCAUUAAGGGCAAGCAGCCUGGCAGGACACAGAGUCACUCUGAGAAUGGAACCAACGGGGAAUCAGGGAGACUUUUAUAAAUAUGAGUGGGAGUCAGACUGACGAACUCAGCAGUGGAGUAGUGCAAGAACCAGAGGGAUCUGCUGUAAGGAUUGUGUUCCAGGGCCUUGCCACUUUGUUGUAUUCAGAUUAUAGGUCCCCUCACUCCACAGGAAAAGACAACUAGAAUUGUUGCAGCCUAUGCAAAUUGCAGACAGUCAUUAAAGAGACAGACAAAGUUUGAAGGAGACUCUGGGACUAUGACUUGUUUUCCAGUCUUUAAAGGAGCUUUAGUACCCUACAGGGGAGUUGGACAUCGUUCCACAGAGACUGGGAGGUUUUACCCUUCUCAGAGAAGAGACUAGCAUGUGCCUAAUUAUAUUUUGCAUUUGAGCUUGUGAUAGUAAUAGGUACCAAAACUUGAGGGAGAACUCCCCGAAAGUGUUGUCUUUCAAAGAGUUACCAAUAGUCACAAUUAUUUCAAGGGUUAUAAUUAAAAUCUGUAUUUAUGAAUUGAGAUUUAAUAAAUGUUUUCCCUUUGAGAUUGUCACUUUCCUCCUAUCAGAGAUUUAACUCUGUAUAAUUGUGUGUAUGUGUGACACACACAUGCACAGACACAAGUCUCGAAAAAAGACUAAAUGCUGGUCUUACCACAGCAGAAAGGCAAACUUAGGAACAGGAAGGAGAAAUACUGUACCUGCUGUUAGUAUGGCCUCCCCCCAAAACCAUUACACAUGCUCUGAAGGGAGUGGGCUUGUGGUCAGGAAGGAAUUAAGACUCCAUGAGACUUUCUCCCAUUCAUGCUACAGCUGACUUUGUCCCAGCAUGUUACAUACAUGCGAGGACAUAGAUAAUGAUGGAAGCUGCUGGCUGGCUGACUGAAGGUUUAAACAUAGCUCUCUGCUGGCGUUUUGUAAGUUUUGCUGCUUUUACAGUUGAUUCCUUCUCAGAGCACUAAUAGGAACAGUGUUCAUAUUAAAAAUAAAAUAGGCAAGACUAGCCUGAGUCUUUGCACUCAUUUUCUAUUCCAAUAAAGAAAUAUCUCACUCUCCGAAUGAAAUCCUGGCUCCACUGAAAACAAUGGCAAAAACUCUCAUUGAUUUCAGUGAGGCCAGGAUUUCACGCAUAGAGUCCAGUUCUGUCUUGACUGCCAGUAAAUAAGGACAUCUCUCAUUAGCACUGAGCUGAAUAUAAGAUUGUAUGUGAAUGAUCCUUAAUUAUCACUUGAUACAUUUCUUUCCCUGUAAUUAAAUCCAUCCUUUAAAUUGUUUGGGUUUUUUUUAAAUCCACUUAAAAAAAAUGUCUGAAACCAUCUACACUGUUAUUAAGUAUCUUGGAAAGUGUUCUCAGAUUCUGUUGAUGCUGUAACUCUAUCAUGAAACAACCAGACAUUGACAUUGGUACCGGACUCAAUGGAGGUAAUUCAGAACUUUAU